This 567-nucleotide ribosomal RNA is filed under the name uncultured bacterium. Its description in RNAcentral is "bacterial SSU rRNA". It matches the Rfam family "Bacterial small subunit ribosomal RNA", at positions 338 to 916 of the family's 1533-position model. The record is from RNAcentral.
CCUACGGGAGGCAGCAGUGGGGAAUAUUGCACAAUGGGCGAAAGCCUGAUGCAGCGACGCCGCGUGAGGGAUGACGGCCUUCGGGUUGUAAACCUCUUUCAGCAGGGAAGAAGCGAGAGUGACGGUACCUGCAGAAGAAGCGCCGGCUAACUACGUGCCAGCAGCCGCGGUAAUACGUAGGGCGCAAGCGUUGUCCGGAAUUAUUGGGCGUAAAGAGCUCGUAGGCGGCUUGUUGCGUCGGUUGUGAAAGCCCGGGGCUUAACCCCGGGUCUGCAGUCGAUACGGGCAGGCUAGAGUGUGGUAGGGGAGAUCGGAAUUCCUGGUGUAGCGGUGAAAUGCGCAGAUAUCAGGAGGAACACCGGUGGCGAAGGCGGAUCUCUGGGCCAUUACUGACGCUGAGGAGCGAAAGCGUGGGGAGCGAACAGGAUUAGAUACCCUGGUAGUCCACGCCGUAAACGUUGGGAACUAGGUGUUGGCGACAUUCCACGUCGUCGGUGCCGCAGCUAACGCAUUAAGUUCCCCGCCUGGGGAGUACGGCCGCAAGGCAAAACUCAAAGGAAUUGACGG